Molecule: ribosomal RNA, 429 nt
Filed under: Actinomycetes bacterium
Lineage: Bacteria; Bacillati; Actinomycetota; Actinomycetes
Description: Actinobacteria bacterium partial 16S ribosomal RNA
Rfam family: Bacterial small subunit ribosomal RNA
Source: RNAcentral
UAGGGAAUCUUCCGCAAUGGGCGAAAGCCUGACGGAGCAACGCCGCGUGAGUGAUGAAGGUCUUCGGAUCGUAAAACUCUGUUAUUAGGGAAGAACAAAUGUGUAAGUAACUAUGCACGUCUUGACGGUACCUAAUCAGAAAGCCACGGCUAACUACGUGCCAGCAGCCCCGGUAAUACGUAGGUGGCAAGCGUUAUCCGGAAUUAUUGGGCGUAAAGCGCGCGUAGGCGGUUUUUUAAGUCUGAUGUGAAAGCCCACGGCUCAACCGUGGAGGGUCAUUGGAAGCUGGAAAACUUGAGUGCAGAAGAGGAAAGUGGAAUUCCAUGUGUAGCGGUGAAAUGCGCAGAGAUAUGGAGGAACACCAGUGGCGAAGGCGACUUUCUGGUCUGUAACUGACGCUGAUGUGCGAAAGCGUGGGGAUCAAACAGG